AGAGUAUAAAGGCAUAAGCCAGCUUAACUGCGAGACAUACACGUCAAGCAGAGACGAAAGUCGGUCUUAGUGAUCCGGUGGUUCUGUGUGGAAGGGCCAUCGCUCAAAGGAUAAAGGUACCCCGGGGAUAACAGGCUGAUCUCCCCCAAGAGCUCACAUCGACGGGGAGGUUUGGCACCUCGAUGUCGGCUCAUCGCAUCCUGGGG
This 206-nucleotide ribosomal RNA is filed under the name Campylobacter fetus subsp. testudinum. RNAcentral's name for it is "partial 23S ribosomal RNA". It matches the Rfam family "Bacterial large subunit ribosomal RNA", at positions 2346 to 2552 of the family's 2925-position model. Lineage: Bacteria; Pseudomonadati; Campylobacterota; Epsilonproteobacteria; Campylobacterales; Campylobacteraceae. The record is from RNAcentral.